CCUACGGGUGGCAGCAGUGAGGAAUAUUGGUCAAUGGACGAGAGUCUGAACCAGCCAAGUAGCGUGAAGGAUGACUGCCCUAUGGGUUGUAAACUUCUUUUAUAUGGGAAUAAAAUGUUCCACGUGUGGGAUUUUGUAUGUACCAUAUGAAUAAGGAUCGGCUAACUCCGUGCCAGCAGCCGCGGUAAUACGGAGGAUCCGAGCGUUGUCCGGAUUUAUUGGGUUUAAAGGGAGCGUAGGUGGUUUGUUAAGUCAGUUGUGAAAGUUUGCGUCUCAACCGUAAAAUUGCAGUUGAAACUGGCAGUCUUGAGUACAGUAGAGGUGGGCGGAAUUCGUGGUGUAGCGGUGAAAUGCUUAGAUAUCACGAAGAACUCCGAUUGCGAAGGCAGUUCACUGGACUGCAACUGACACUGAGGCUCGAAAGUGUGGGUAUCAAACAGGAUUAGAUACCCGGGUAGUC
This 460-nucleotide ribosomal RNA is filed under the name uncultured bacterium. Its description in RNAcentral is "partial 16S ribosomal RNA". It matches the Rfam family "Bacterial small subunit ribosomal RNA", at positions 338 to 795 of the family's 1533-position model. The record is from RNAcentral.